RNAcentral lists this long non-coding RNA (206 nucleotides) under Lathyrus oleraceus (garden pea). RNAcentral's name for it is "Pisum sativum (pea) long non-coding RNA (PSAT_LNC027160)". The record is from RNAcentral. Lineage: Eukaryota; Viridiplantae; Streptophyta; Magnoliopsida; Fabales; Fabaceae.
GAUGCUAGGGUUUCAUGGUUGAGCCAUUUCAUCAGGAGUUUGGGGCUCAAUUUGAUCAGUGCGUAGCCAAAUUCAUCUAUCUGUCAGAAAAGUCAAUUGUGGUCAACGGUGCCUGGAUUGAUGGAUUUGGAGGAGGGAAAGGGCAAGAGAUACUCCAUUCAUGUUCAAACAAGUCUCAUUUGACAUUUCAGAUACUCACAUUGAAG